RNAcentral lists this long non-coding RNA (298 nucleotides) under Musa acuminata (dwarf banana). RNAcentral's name for it is "long non-coding RNA (MACU_LNC010332)". The record is from RNAcentral. Lineage: Eukaryota; Viridiplantae; Streptophyta; Magnoliopsida; Zingiberales; Musaceae.
UCGUAAGUUUGAAAACGAUUUCGUAAAUGUGUAGAGAUUUAAAUUCGACAAUGAAUGACUUUUUUUUUUUUAUAAGUGACAAUGAAUAACUUAGUGAAAGUAGCUCGAGUAAAGUGAGAAGAUAAAAACCGAAAGCUUUCUGCUAUGUAAAUAACGGUUUAAGAAACAUAAACACUCACACAUUUAAGGAACAUACCAAUUUAAAGUGGUUCGGUCAAAAUGACCUACAUCCACUUGCGAAGCCUUCUUUGAUGAGGCUCCCAACUUCCACUAGCAAAUCACUUUGAAGGGGAAGGAC